This 118-nucleotide ribosomal RNA is filed under the name Lupinus angustifolius (narrow-leaved blue lupine). The record is from RNAcentral. Lineage: Eukaryota; Viridiplantae; Streptophyta; Magnoliopsida; Fabales; Fabaceae.
AGGUGCGAUCAUACAACAGUAAUGCACUGGAUCCCAUCAGAACUCCAAAGAUUAGCGUGCUUGCUGGAGAGUAGUAUUGGGAUGGGUGAGCUCCAGGGAAGUCCUCAUGUUGCACCUC